UUUAUGGAGAGUUUGAUCCUGGCUCAGGAUGAACGCUGGCGGCGUGCCUAAUACAUGCAAGUCGAGCGAACGGACGAGAAGCUUGCUUCUCUGAUGUUAGCGGCGGACGGGUGAGUAACACGUGGAUAACCUACCUAUAAGACUGGGAUAACUUCGGGAAACCGGAGCUAAUACCGGAUAAUAUUUUGAACCGCAUGGUUCAAAAGUGAAAGACGGUCUUGCUGUCACUUAUAGAUGGAUCCGCGCUGCAUUAGCUAGUUGGUAAGGUAACGGCUUACCAAGGCAACGAUGCAUAGCCGACCUGAGAGGGUGAUCGGCCACACUGGAACUGAGACACGGUCCAGACUCCUACGGGAGGCAGCAGUAGGGAAUCUUCCGCAAUGGGCGAAAGCCUGACGGAGCAACGCCGCGUGAGUGAUGAAGGUCUUCGGAUCGUAAAACUCUGUUAUUAGGGAAGAACAUAUGUGUAAGUAACUGUGCACAUCUUGACGGUACCUAA
This 499-nucleotide ribosomal RNA is filed under the name Staphylococcus aureus. Its description in RNAcentral is "bacterial SSU rRNA". It matches the Rfam family "Bacterial small subunit ribosomal RNA", at positions 1 to 482 of the family's 1533-position model. RNAcentral also lists the same sequence under 1 other name. The record is from RNAcentral. Lineage: Bacteria; Bacillati; Bacillota; Bacilli; Caryophanales; Staphylococcaceae.